UCCACCCGGGUCUGUGGUUGCGGGCGCAAGCCCUAGUCCAUGGUAGGCGCGGCCGAAUGGACCCACGUAAGCACGCCGGCGAAAGCCGAUGUGUGAGCAUGGCGCGCCUUAGGGGUAAGUCGUACCGUCCGUUCAGGGUCGCAUCCCGCGAUCCCGGGCGAGAGGGCCGGUAGUGAGAUGACAUCAAGCGGAAGCCCCCGUACGCGAGUGUGGGGCCAAAGACCAGGUCAGCCGGGUGGA
Molecule: non-coding RNA, 240 nt
Filed under: unclassified sequences
Description: raiA RNA
Rfam family: raiA RNA
Source: Rfam by way of RNAcentral